This 495-nucleotide ribosomal RNA is filed under the name Xanthomonas melonis. RNAcentral describes it as "bacterial SSU rRNA". It matches the Rfam family "Bacterial small subunit ribosomal RNA", at positions 8 to 491 of the family's 1533-position model. The record is from RNAcentral. Lineage: Bacteria; Pseudomonadati; Pseudomonadota; Gammaproteobacteria; Lysobacterales; Lysobacteraceae.
AGAGUUUGAUCCUGGCUCAGAGUGAACGCUGGCGGCAGGCCUAACACAUGCAAGUCGAACGGCAGCACAGUGGUAGCAAUACCAUGGGUGGCGAGUGGCGGACGGGUGAGGAAUACAUCGGAAUCUACCUUUUCGUGGGGGAUAACGUAGGGAAACUUACGCUAAUACCGCAUACGACCUUAGGGUGAAAGCGGAGGACCUUCGGGCUUCGCGCGGAUAGAUGAGCCGAUGUCGGAUUAGCUAGUUGGCGGGGUAAAGGCCCACCAAGGCGACGAUCCGUAGCUGGUCUGAGAGGAUGAUCAGCCACACUGGAACUGAGACACGGUCCAGACUCCUACGGGAGGCAGCAGUGGGGAAUAUUGGUACAAUGGGCGCAAGCCUGAUCCAGCCAUGCCGCGUGGGUGAAGAAGGCCUUCGGGUUGUAAAGCCCUUUUGUUGGGAAAGAAAAGCAGUCGGUUAAUACCCGAUUGUUCUGACGGUACCCAAAGAAUAAGC